This 264-nucleotide ribosomal RNA is filed under the name Triticum aestivum (bread wheat). Its description in RNAcentral is "partial small subunit ribosomal RNA". The record is from RNAcentral. Lineage: Eukaryota; Viridiplantae; Streptophyta; Magnoliopsida; Poales; Poaceae.
UUAGCAAUAGUUAGACAAGUGGGUAAUGUUGGGGUGAACCAAAAAAGUUUGGGUAGAGCUGGAUCUAAGUGUUGGCUAGGUAAACGCCCUGUAGUAAGAGCAGUAGUUAUGAACCCUGUGGACCACCCCCAUGGGGGCGGUGAAGGGAAAGCUCCCAUUGGUAGAAAAAACCCACAACCCCUUAGGGUUAUCCUGCGCUUGCAAGAAGAACUACGAAAAGGAAAGAAAUAUAGUGAUAGUUGUAUUCUUCGUCGCCGUAUUUAA